CCUACGGGAGGCAGCAGUGAGGAAUAUUGGUCAAUGGCCGUAAGGCUGAACCAGCCAAGUCGCGUGAAGGAAGAAGGAUCUAUGGUUUGUACACUUCUUUUAUAGGGGAAUAAAGGUAUCCACGUGUGGAUAUUUGCAUUUACCCUAUGAAUAAGCAUCGGCUAACUCCGUGCCAGCAGCCGCGGUAAUACGGAGGAUUCGAGCGUUAUCCGGAUUGAUUUGGUUUAAAGGGUGCGUAGGUUGUUUUUUAAGUCAGCGGGGAAAGUUUGUGGCUCAACCAGAAAAUUGCCGUUGAAACUGGAAGACGUGAGUGUGUUUGAGGUAGGCGGAAUGUGUGGUGUAGCGGUGAAAUGCAUAGAUAUCACGCAGAACACCGAUUGCGAAGGCAGCUUACUAAGCCAUAACUGACACUGAAGCACGAAAGCGUGGGGAUCAAACAGGAUUAGAUACCCUUGUAGUC
This 460-nucleotide ribosomal RNA is filed under the name uncultured bacterium. RNAcentral's name for it is "partial 16S ribosomal RNA". It matches the Rfam family "Bacterial small subunit ribosomal RNA", at positions 338 to 795 of the family's 1533-position model. The record is from RNAcentral.